CUGAAACAUCAGAAAAAGUAAAGAUAAUUUAAGGAAAAAUAUAAGGCAUGAUGGCACUGUUCUAGGCAUGAUGGAUAUGGAAAUUAACAAGUCAGAUGAGAUGCAUACCCUCUAGACACUCAUAUUCCAGUAAGAAGGACAGACGAUAAAGACAAAUAACCCUGGGCUUCGUCAGAAGGUGAGAAUUUUCUCCAACAAAAGUGGGAACACAAAGGACAUUCAAGAUAUCCCAAAGAUCUAUUAUCUAAUUUCAAAAUCAAAUCUUGCACUAUUUGGACUUUCAUUAUUUCAGUAA
This is a non-coding RNA of Delphinapterus leucas (beluga whale), 295 nucleotides long. Lineage: Eukaryota; Metazoa; Chordata; Mammalia; Artiodactyla; Monodontidae. The record is from RefSeq and is a predicted model, not a curated record.